RNAcentral lists this transfer RNA (81 nucleotides) under Hydnum rufescens UP504. It matches the Rfam family "tRNA". From Rfam's summary of the family: Transfer RNA (tRNA) molecules are approximately 80 nucleotides in length. Their secondary structure includes four short double-helical elements and three loops (D, anti-codon, and T loops). The record is from Rfam by way of RNAcentral. Lineage: Eukaryota; Fungi; Basidiomycota; Agaricomycetes; Cantharellales; Hydnaceae.
GUCACCAUCGUCCAAUGGUUAAGACGCCACGUUGUGGACAACUUGUCCGUGGCGAUCCAGGUUCGAUUCCUGGUAGUGACA